RNAcentral lists this non-coding RNA (92 nucleotides) under unclassified sequences. RNAcentral's name for it is "freshwater-2 RNA". It matches the Rfam family "freshwater-2 RNA". Rfam says of the family: Aquatic, esp. fresh water. No recognized genes The record is from RNAcentral.
AGACACACGGGGUGUUUAGUUUAUGCUGUUUAACCAUAUCAGCGUAGUGGCUAGAACCCACAUUGGACUUCUAUAAGGAGAAAUAUAAAAUG